This 771-nucleotide long non-coding RNA is filed under the name Bemisia tabaci. RNAcentral's name for it is "lncRNA ENSSSA3NGG011322". Lineage: Eukaryota; Metazoa; Arthropoda; Insecta; Hemiptera; Aleyrodidae. The record is from RNAcentral.
AACCAAUCUUCAAAAAUUUUGUGUGGACCUGCAGCUAUUUGGGAAAACAUUUUAUGAAUAUCAAACGUAAUUUUUUUCACUAGCGCGGAGUAGAUGCUAUCUUGCUGCAGUUUCAAGCUAACAAUUAUUAUUCAUACAUGCUUCCUUUGCGCAAUUGAUGGAAAAUCAACGAGCUCACAGCCUCUUAAAAUUACAACCUCGCAACCCCCCAAAAAAUUUCAGAGCACGGAGCAAAUUAAAGCAGGGACGGGUAUAAAUGGCGUCACUCCAACCCCUCCUCUUUGGACAUUUGGAACCUUAUGGGAACUAUUAGGGGGCAAUGGAACAACUUGGGUCGACCUGCCAACUCCAUCAACGACCACCGCUCAGCCAACAACCCCGAAAGACAUAGAACUAAUCCUAAGAAAUGCCAAGAUCAUCCCAUAUGUGCUAAACAAAAGACCACCUCAUGAAAUUCAGGUGUCAUUUUAUAAUAUGCCCUGGAAUUUGGGUAGAAUUUUUGAUAAAACCGAUGUGCGCGAGGCUCCACACUACUUAUGGUGGAUCUCUGAGGCGGAAACGUACUACACGCUCCUUUUGAUAAGUCCAGAUUUUCCCGGCGAACAUGAUCAUUGUUUGGCGCAGUAUCAACAUUGGGUCGUGGUAAAUAUACCUGGUUUAUGGGUUGAAGGAGGCGAAACACUCGCAUCAUACGUAGGCUUGGAACCGUAUGGCAUCGGGAAACAUAGAUUAGUUCUCCUUUAUUCAAGCAGCCCAGCAGAGAGAAAAUAG